RNAcentral lists this ribosomal RNA (334 nucleotides) under uncultured eukaryote. Its description in RNAcentral is "partial 18S ribosomal RNA". It matches the Rfam family "Eukaryotic small subunit ribosomal RNA", at positions 1470 to 1796 of the family's 1831-position model. The record is from RNAcentral.
CCCUUAGAUGUCCGGGGCCGCACGCGCGCUACACUGAAGGAAUCAGCGUGGCUUUCUCCCUGACCCGAAAGGGUUGGGAAACCCGUUGAAUCUCCUUCGUGAUAGGGAUUGGGGCUUGAAAUUGUUCCCCAUGAACGAGGAAUUCCCAGUAAGCGCGAGUCAUAAGCUCGCGUUGAUUACGUCCCUGCCCUUUGUACACACCGCUCGUCGCUACUACCGAUUGAACGGUUUAGUGAGGGCCUCGGAUUGGUCUCGGCCCGCUCUUUACCGGGCGGCGCCGUUGGUCGAGAAGACGCUCGAACUUGAUCGUUUAGAGGAAGUAAAAGUCGUAACA